UACGUAGGGUGCAAGCGUUGUCCGGAAUUAUUGGGCGUAAAGAGCUCGUAGGCGGUUCGUCGCGUCGGCUGUGAAAACCCGGAGCUCAACUCCGGGCCUGCAGUCGAUACGGGCGGACUUGAGUGUUGCAGGGGAGACUGGAAUUCCUGGUGUAGCGGUGAAAUGCGCAGAUAUCAGGAGGAACACCGGUGGCGAAGGUGGGUCUCUGGGCAACUACUGACGCUGAGGAGCGAAAGCGUGGGGAGCGAACAGG
This 253-nucleotide ribosomal RNA is filed under the name uncultured bacterium. RNAcentral's name for it is "partial 16S ribosomal RNA". It matches the Rfam family "Bacterial small subunit ribosomal RNA", at positions 524 to 776 of the family's 1533-position model. The record is from RNAcentral.